RNAcentral lists this long non-coding RNA (396 nucleotides) under Physcomitrium patens. Its description in RNAcentral is "long non-coding RNA (PPAT_LNC014435)". The record is from RNAcentral. Lineage: Eukaryota; Viridiplantae; Streptophyta; Bryopsida; Funariales; Funariaceae.
AACAUGGUGAAUCACGGCUAAUCUACCAUGGUCAUCAACUCCAAAGCCAUGCCUACCCUUGUUGCUACGAAAUUGUCUCGAUAUCCCCGCAAUACCACAGCUUUGAUUUUCUUCAAUAAAAAUGCCUUCAAUUCAUUGUUUCUUUUAAAAUGGCCGCAUAGCUUAGAUCUGUCAAUACCAAUCCAGUACAGUACCAUCAUUGCUUCUCUUUUAGUCAACUUGAGCUCCUCUAAAAUUGAUAUGCCCUCUUCUUCUUAAUUGACAAUCUUCUCUACUAAUUUGGAUCUACUUACAUGCUUAUAAUCAACAACUUCUUUUUGCUCUAACCCUCACCUUUUUUUUCUUAGAUUCUCGUACUCAUCCUCUAAAAUUAAAUCACAAUUUGAUCUUCUAUGU